Molecule: ribosomal RNA, 229 nt
Filed under: uncultured bacterium
Lineage: Bacteria
Description: partial 16S ribosomal RNA
Rfam family: Bacterial small subunit ribosomal RNA
Source: RNAcentral
UCCGUAGGCGGGCGUCUAAGUCAGUGGUGAAAUCUUACAGCUCAACUGUAAAAUUGCCAUUGAUACUGGAUGUCUUGAAUUAGUGUGAAGUGGUUAGAAUGUGUAGUGUAGCGGUGAAAUGCAUAGAUAUUACACAGAAUACCAAUUGCGAAGGCAGAUCACUAACACUAUAUCGACGCUGAGGGACGAAAGCGUGGGGAGCGAACAGGAUUAGAUACCCUGGUAGUCC